Molecule: ribosomal RNA, 117 nt
Filed under: Desulfosporosinus sp.
Lineage: Bacteria; Bacillati; Bacillota; Clostridia; Eubacteriales; Desulfitobacteriaceae
Source: RNAcentral
UCUGGUGAUCAUGCCGGAGGGGUUCCACCCGUUCCCAUCUCGAACACGGAAGUUAAGACCUUCAGGGCCGAUGAUACUUGGGGCGCAAGCCCCUGGCAAAGUAGGUCAUCGCCAGGU